GAUGAACGCUGGCGGCGUGCCUAAUACAUGCAAGUCGAGCGAACAGACGAGGAGCUUGCUCCUUUGACGUUAGCGGCGGACGGGUGAGUAACACGUAGGUAACCUACCUAUAAGACUGGGAUAACUUCGGGAAACCGGAGCUAAUACCGGUUAAUAUUUCGAACCGCAUGGUUCGAUAGUGAAAGAUGGCUUUGCUAUCACUUAUAGAUGGACCUGCGCCGUAUUAGCUAGUUGGUAAGGUAACGGCUUACCAAGGCAACGAUACGUAGCCGACCUGAGAGGGUGAUCGGCCACACUGGAACUGAGACACGGUCCAGACUCCUACGGGAGGCAGCAGUAGGGAAUCUUCCGCAAUGGGCGAAAGCCUGACGGAGCAACGCCGCGUGAGUGAUGAAGGUCUUCGGAUCGUAAAACUCUGUUAUUAGGGAAGAACAAACGUGUAAGUAACUGUGCACGUCUUGACGGUACCUAAUCAGAAAGCCACGGCUAACUACGUG
RNAcentral lists this ribosomal RNA (497 nucleotides) under uncultured bacterium. RNAcentral's name for it is "partial 16S ribosomal RNA". It matches the Rfam family "Bacterial small subunit ribosomal RNA", at positions 28 to 507 of the family's 1533-position model. The record is from RNAcentral.